UUCAUUUUGGUGUAUGAUGCAUCGUAGUUUUUGGUAUUUCUGGUAAUAGUUUAACUCUGUUAGGUGUUU
This 69-nucleotide transfer RNA is filed under the name Cryptocercus tianbaensis. Its description in RNAcentral is "tRNA-Gln". The record is from RNAcentral. Lineage: Eukaryota; Metazoa; Arthropoda; Insecta; Blattodea; Cryptocercidae.